RNAcentral lists this unclassified non-coding RNA (87 nucleotides) under Pseudomonas trivialis. The record is from RNAcentral. Lineage: Bacteria; Pseudomonadati; Pseudomonadota; Gammaproteobacteria; Pseudomonadales; Pseudomonadaceae.
GUGGGAGGGGGCUUGCUCCCGAUGGCGGUGCGUCAGUCAAUUUUUUCAUACCUGACCCACCACUGUCGGGAGCAAGCCCCCUGCCAC